GGCUACUGCUAUCAGAGUUCGAUUAAGCCAUGUUAGUCGAGGGUGCUUCUUCCUCUUCGGGGGAAGCGGUAACCCGGCGGACGGCUCAGUAACACGUGGACAACUUGUCCUUUGGACCGGGAUAACCCCUGGGAAACUGGGGCUAAUACCGGAUAGAGCAUUGACCGCUGGAAUGCGCGAUGCUCGAAAGCUGAGGCGCCAAAGGAUAGGUCUGCGGCCGAUUAGGUUGUUGUUGAUGUAACGGAUCAACAAGCCUUCGAUCGGUAUGGGUUGUGAGAGCAAAAGCCCAGAGAUGGGUUCUGAGAGAAGAACCCAGGUCCUACGGGACGCAUCAGGCGCGAAAACUUUACAAUGUGCGAAAGCACGAUAAGGGAACUCUGGGUGCCUCCAAAGGAGGCUGUUCAGGUGUUUAAAAAGCAUCUGAAGUAAGGGCUGGGUAAGACCGGUGCCAGCCGCCGCGGUAACACCGGCAGCCCAAGUGGUGGCCACUUUUACUGGGUCUAAAGCGUUCGUAGCCGGCUAUGUAAGUUCCUUGGGAAAUUUGACCGCUUAACGGUUAAGCUUCCAGGGAAUACUGCUUGGCUUGGGACCGGGAGAGGUCAGAGGUACCUCAAGGGUAGGGGUGAAAUCCGUUAAUCCUUGGGGGACCGCCGGUAGCGAAGGCGUCUGACCAGACCGGAUCCGACGGUGAGGGACGAAGGCUAGGGUAGCGAACCGGAUUAGAUACCCGGGUAGUCCUAGCUGUAAACGAUGCGGGCUAGGUGUUGGCAUUACUGCGAGUGAUGCCAGUGCCGAAGGGAAGCCGUUAAGCCCGCCAUCUGGGGAGUACGGUCGCAAGGCUGAAACUUAAAGGAAUUGGCGGGGGAGCACUACAACGGGUGGAGCCUGCGGUUCAAUUGGAUUCAACGCCGGG
This 913-nucleotide ribosomal RNA is filed under the name uncultured archaeon. Its description in RNAcentral is "bacterial SSU rRNA". It matches the Rfam family "Archaeal small subunit ribosomal RNA", at positions 22 to 922 of the family's 1478-position model. The record is from RNAcentral.